GAUACAAGAGGCAAAAAGUCAUAAAUCGAUCCUGCUUGCAGGUAAAGAUUUAUGCUUUAUUGCCUCGCAACGCAUAUGAGGAAGUAGUGAUUUUCUUGAAAAAUCAACGGAUUCCGAAUAUGCGUAGAAUUGCGGAAGUUGUGCAACAACGGAGCAAUUCGU
RNAcentral lists this small RNA (162 nucleotides) under uncultured Agathobacter sp. RNAcentral's name for it is "Clostridiales-1 RNA". It matches the Rfam family "Clostridiales-1 RNA". The record is from RNAcentral. Lineage: Bacteria; Bacillati; Bacillota; Clostridia; Lachnospirales; Lachnospiraceae.